This 119-nucleotide ribosomal RNA is filed under the name Stegastes partitus (bicolor damselfish). The record is from RNAcentral. Lineage: Eukaryota; Metazoa; Chordata; Actinopteri; Pomacentridae.
CCAGGCAGCCAUCUACCCAAGACGCAAGAGUUUGUCUAAUCUUGGAAAGCCAAACAGGGUCAGGCCUGAUUAGUACUUUGAUGGAAGACCACCCAGGAGUAUCCAAAGAAUUGCCAUCU